CUGGAAUUCAUGAACCGUGAGAACAUGACCUGAGCCGAAGCCGGAUGCUUAACCAACUGAGCCACCCAGGAGCCCCUCCAUCAUCACUUUUAUGAAUGAAAUCCAUAUCAUUAUGAGUUUCUUCUAGGUCAACAUCAUUCUGUGCGAGGUCCACAGAUCACUGCCUGUUUGCAAACUGGUCCUAAUCCACAAUGAAUUAAGUAUAAAACUGAAGAAGCAAAAUCUGCAACGAGCUCAAGACUGUCCUCUCUUUGGAGUAUGUCACCAGGAUAAGGAACCUCUAUGUCCUUAUGUGCCUUUUGAAGUAAAUAAAGCUCCACAAAGACCCUUCACUAACUCUACGGAGACCUGUGAGAGAGGCCUCUGAAUUUUUUUUUCUCCAUCACUCUGGAGUAAGGCCACUUUGGGGUAGACUUUUGCAAAUGUAAGUAAGAAUUUUUCAUAAUAUCUUUAAAAUCAAUCACUCGCCAGUGAGUGAAAUAUGUGUGGUACCACCUGUACAACUCCACCCUGACAGAGGUUAAUGUUACUAAAUACAGUGGUUUCCUGAGAGGGAAAGUGAUGUAUGUAUGUAUAUAUUUAUCAUAAAUAAAACAUGAUGCAAGGCUGGCUGUAUUAAAAUUUGAAUUGUG
Molecule: long non-coding RNA, 632 nt
Organism: Felis catus (domestic cat)
Lineage: Eukaryota; Metazoa; Chordata; Mammalia; Carnivora; Felidae
Exons: 4
Source: RefSeq, a predicted model, not a curated record